Molecule: ribosomal RNA, 413 nt
Filed under: uncultured bacterium
Lineage: Bacteria
Description: bacterial SSU rRNA
Rfam family: Bacterial small subunit ribosomal RNA
Source: RNAcentral
GGAAUAUUGGUCAAUGGACGAGAGUCUGAACCAGCCAUGCCGCGUGCAGGAAGAAGGCCUUUGGGUUGUAAACUGCUUUUAUACGGGAAGAAAAAGUAACUGCGGUUAAAAUUGACGGUACCGUAUGCAUAAGCAGCGGCUAACUUCGUGCCAGCAGCCGCGGUAAUACGUAGGGUGCAAGCGUUGUCCGGAUUUACUGGGUUUAAAGGGUGCGCAGGCGGCCUGUUAAGUCAGUGGUGAAAUCCCAUCGCUCAACGAUGGAACUGCCAUUGAUACUGACGGGCUUGAGUAUGCAAGAGGUAGGCGGAAUUCGUGGUGUAGCGGUGAAAUGCAUAGAUACCAUGAGGAACACCUAUUGUGAAGACAGCUUACUGGAGCAUAACUGACGCUCAUGCACGAAAGCGUGGGGAGCG